GACGAACGCUGGCGGCGUGCUUAACACAUGCAAGUCGAACGGAAAGGCCCUGCUUUUGUGGGGUGCUCGAGUGGCGAACGGGUGAGUAACACGUGAGUAACCUGCCCUUGACUUUGGGAUAACUUCAGGAAACUGGGGCUAAUACCGGAUAGGAGCUCCUGCUGCAUGGUGGGGGUUGGAAAGUUUCGGCGGUUGGGGAUGGACUCGCGGCUUAUCAGCUUGUUGGUGGGGUAGUGGCUUACCAAGGCUUUGACGGGUAGCCGGCCUGAGAGGGUGACCGGGCAAAAUGGGAAUGAGGUACGGGCCAGAAUCCUAAGGGAGGCAGGAGGGGGGAAUAUUGCAAAAAGGGGGGAAGGCUGAAGCAGGAAAGCCGCGGGGGGGAAGAAGGGCUUCGGGGUGGAAACCGGUUUUGCCUGGGAAGAAGCGGGAGGGAAGGGAAUGGGUAAAGAAGCACCGGCUAACUACGUG
Molecule: ribosomal RNA, 468 nt
Filed under: uncultured bacterium
Lineage: Bacteria
Description: partial 16S ribosomal RNA
Rfam family: Bacterial small subunit ribosomal RNA
Source: RNAcentral